CAGCCGCCGCGGGAAUACGUAGGUGGCAAGCGUUGUCCGGAAUUAUUGGGCGUAAAGGGCUCGCAGGCGGUUUCUUAGGUCUGAUGUGAAAGCCCCCGGCUCAACCGGGGAGGGUCAUUGGAAACUGGGAAACUUGAGUGCAGAAGAGGAGAGUGGGAUUCCACGUGUAGCGGUGAAAUGCGUAGGGAUGUGGAGGAACACCAGUGGCGAAGGCGACUCUCUGGUCUGUAACUGACGCUGAGGAGCGAAAGCGUGGGGAGCGAACAGGAUUAGAUACCCGAGUAGUCCCUGUCUCUUAUAU
RNAcentral lists this ribosomal RNA (301 nucleotides) under uncultured bacterium. RNAcentral's name for it is "partial 16S ribosomal RNA". It matches the Rfam family "Bacterial small subunit ribosomal RNA", at positions 509 to 809 of the family's 1533-position model. The record is from RNAcentral.